This 112-nucleotide Y RNA is filed under the name Prolemur simus (greater bamboo lemur). Its description in RNAcentral is "Y RNA (ENSPSMG00000021434.1)". It matches the Rfam family "Y RNA". From Rfam's summary of the family: Y RNAs are components of the Ro ribonucleoprotein particle (Ro RNP), in association with Ro60 and La proteins. The Y RNAs and Ro60 and La proteins are well conserved, but the function of the Ro RNP is not known. In humans the RNA component can be one of four small RNAs -- hY1, hY3, hY4 and hY5. Lineage: Eukaryota; Metazoa; Chordata; Mammalia; Primates; Lemuridae. The record is from Rfam by way of RNAcentral.
GGCUUGUCCGAACGUAAUGAGUCACUCACUUGAUUGUUCACAGUCAGUUACAGAUUGAACUCCUUGUUCUACUACUUUCCCCCUUCUCACUACUACACUUGACUAGUCUUAA